AUGACGCUAAUCAGCUGGAACUGUCGAGGAAUUGGGCAGCCUCGUAUAGUUCGUGAGCUUGUGGGCCUAGUGCACACACACAAGCCUAAGUUAGUUUUUCUUUCAGAGACUCGGAAAAGCGAUGAUUACGUUAAUAAACUGAAAUGGAGGCUGGGCCUCAGGCAUUGUAUUGUGCAACCCGGCAUAGGAAAGAGUGCCGGGAUUGCUCUGUUUUAUGAUGAGGGUGUUGAAAUAAAAGAAAUCGCUAUUGGACCGAGGUAUAUCGAUGUGUUAAUCCGUUUGAGUCCCAAUAGUUUGCAAUGGAGGGGAAUGUUCGUGUAUGGCGAGCCAAAAUCACAUGAGCGUCACCACAUGUGGGAGCUUUUGAGAAGAAUUAGGCACAACUCCUCUGAACCUUGGCUCAUGAUCGGGGACUUCAACGAAACAAUGUGGCAAAGCGAACACUUCUCGAAAGCAAAGCGGUCUGAAAAGAACAUGGCUGAGUUUCGCAGGGUCCUUGCAGAAUGCAACCUUUAG
This 516-nucleotide ribosomal RNA is filed under the name Triticum aestivum (bread wheat). RNAcentral describes it as "partial small subunit ribosomal RNA". Lineage: Eukaryota; Viridiplantae; Streptophyta; Magnoliopsida; Poales; Poaceae. The record is from RNAcentral.